Leopardus geoffroyi (Geoffroy's cat) is the source of this 781-nucleotide long non-coding RNA. RefSeq lists it as uncharacterized. The transcript has 2 exons. Lineage: Eukaryota; Metazoa; Chordata; Mammalia; Carnivora; Felidae. The record is from RefSeq and is a predicted model, not a curated record.
CACCCCGCGGUUUCUGGGCAGGCCAAGAGUGCUGGUUUGGGGGGGUGGGGGAUCCGGCCGGGAGGUGCAAUUGCCUCAGUGACCCCACAUCCCAGUCACAGCAGCUGUCCCGGCAGGAGCUUCCUGGUGAGGAAGGAGCAAUCCCAAAUGCAGCCAAGGGAACCACAGCAGGCCCAGAGGAGCAACGCUCUGACACUGACACCGGCAGUCUCGUGAUUUAGGCCUGGAUACACUCAGCCGAAAGCUGCUCAGAGGUCGCUGCAUGUUGCACUCAGAGUCAAAUCUCAUUGUCAGACUUUCUAGAAAUUGCACUCUGCCAAGCUUCCUGCUCUUCUUCAUGGGAACUUGGGAGUACACAGCAAAGCAUCCUGAAGAAUGCAGGCCAGGAGCAACCCAAGCUCAAAGAGAGGCCAGCCUUCUGCACUCCAUGCCUCACCUGUCGUUCCUCAUACCUCCAGGGACAUCUAGCCUCUAUCUUGCUACCAGCCACACUAUUUCUCUUGCCCUAGAAUUCUCCUCUUACAAAUGUCUUGACUCAGCUCUCACGGUCCAACUUAGCUAAACCAGGUCCACUAACCAAUCCCUUUCGCCCUACUUUCCUACAAUACCCCAUCCCCACCAUAUGCUCCCCUCCCCACUACCCCAACUACAAUGCCCUGAUUCUUCCCAUCUCCUUUCAAGAUCCAGUCCACGUUCCAUCUCUUGACACAGUCUUUUCCCAGACCAUGGUGAUCUCUUUCUCCCUUAAAUGUCCAUUAUAAUAAAAACUGAGACCAUGUAA